GAAGGCGGCUCGAGUCAACCGGGACACAAAUAAGACAAGGCAAAGUCGAACCGUAUGAAAGAGUCGUAAAUAGUCCUUUGGAGCAAAUCUUGGACCGGAGGAACGAACACACAUCGCGCCGUUUAAUUGCUUCCGCUCGUCAAGUUCUAAAGGGUGAUAGUGUCUUUUGAUUAAUGGAUUUUUUUUUAUUAUGAUGUAAUGGUUACAAUUUUUAUGUCUUUUGGAACGUGUCGUAGAAUUUAGUUGGAAUGAUGAUUGUUAAAAGCAGGGAAUCACUUAUAGUACGAACGGGUCAUACCCAUUUUUUGU
RNAcentral lists this long non-coding RNA (309 nucleotides) under Helianthus annuus (common sunflower). Its description in RNAcentral is "hypothetical non coding rna". The record is from RNAcentral. Lineage: Eukaryota; Viridiplantae; Streptophyta; Magnoliopsida; Asterales; Asteraceae.